GAUACAACAGCCAACUGAACUCAUGUGUCAAGAUGGGCAAGAGCUCCACAAGUAUUGAAAGACAAAUUUGGACAAGGUAGAAUGCCAGGGCAUAUCAGAUGAUGAAGUGAAGUCUCUUCAGCAUAAGUGUGGGGUUUUGGAAAAAAGACAGAAAGAGCUGCUAUUGCUCUCCCUUCUCCUCCUGGACCUGGAAUUUCAAAAUCUCCAUCCUGAAAUGUGAAGCCCCUUCUACUAAGCAACUUGAGGAAGAGAAUGGACGGAAGCACUUUUAUUUACUUUGCACAGAAGCCAAAGUGAACGUGAAAGCAAGAGUGUAAAACUCUGAUACAGAC
This is a long non-coding RNA of Chelonia mydas (Green sea turtle), 332 nucleotides long. RefSeq lists it as uncharacterized. The record is from RefSeq and is a predicted model, not a curated record. The transcript has 3 exons. NCBI's taxonomy places the organism in Eukaryota, Metazoa, Chordata, Testudines, Cheloniidae.